AUUGAACGCUGGCGGCAGGCCUAACACAUGCAAGUCGAACGGUAACAGGAAGAAGCUUGCUUCUUUGCUGACGAGUGGCGGACGGGUGAGUAAUGUCUGGGAAACUGCCUGAUGGAGGGGGAUAACUACUGGAAACGGUAGCUAAUACCGCAUAACGUCGCAAGACCAAAGAGGGGGACCUUCGGGCCUCUUGCCAUCGGAUGUGCCCAGAUGGGAUUAGCUAGUAGGUGGGGUAACGGCUCACCUAGUCGACGAUCCCUAGCUGGUCUGAGAGGAUGACCAGCCACACUGGAACUGAGACACGGUCCAGACUCCUACGGGAGGCAGCAGUGGGGAAUAUUGCACAAAGGGCGCAAGCCUGAUGCAGCCAUGCCGCGUGUAUGAAGAAGGCCUUCGGGUUGUAAAGUACUUUCAGCGGGGAGGAAGGGAGUAAAGUUAAUACCUUUGCUCAUUGACGUUACCCGCAGAAGAAGCACCGGCUAACUCCGUG
RNAcentral lists this ribosomal RNA (490 nucleotides) under uncultured bacterium. RNAcentral describes it as "partial 16S ribosomal RNA". It matches the Rfam family "Bacterial small subunit ribosomal RNA", at positions 30 to 507 of the family's 1533-position model. The record is from RNAcentral.